Poecilia latipinna (sailfin molly) is the source of this 839-nucleotide long non-coding RNA. RefSeq lists it as uncharacterized. The transcript has 2 exons. The record is from RefSeq and is a predicted model, not a curated record. NCBI's taxonomy places the organism in Eukaryota, Metazoa, Chordata, Actinopteri, Cyprinodontiformes, Poeciliidae.
AGUGUGCGUCACAUAGUGAUGGAGUUGCUGAAAUAAACAGGGAAGUCCUGAUGACUGUGUUGCACAUGGGGACCAGACAGACAUGGAUGUGAGGAGCAGUUUGCCCCGUUGCUGAAGGCGUUUCGACAGCAUCGCCACGCUGCAGCCCAGUCAGCAAACAGGCAGCAGAAAACAAAAGUAGAGGCUUCACAGCAAAGUGUGAUGGACUUGGGGCAAUUACACCUAAUUGGGUCUGACUGGUUCCCUUUUGCUCCUCAGUUGAGGGUGACUUGGCUGGAAGUCGGGAUCAGAGUGAUGCCAUUGCUCCUGGCGUCUGGUGAACUCGCACUAAGCACUUUUUAUUCGCUUGGUUUCUUCUUGACCAACCGUCAGACUCGCAGGGAACCGCCUCAGUGCUUCACAGUUAGCGCUGCCGCCGCCAUGCAAACGGCAAAGAAAGUAGGAUCUAAAACCACCGCUGCUCAAAGGACGAAAACAUAAUCUAAUAUGGCAACAGAUCAAAUCAGCUACAGCGCUAACAGGUUUAAACGGAUGAGACGCAACCAGACUCCCCAGAAUGGGACCACGGCGCUUUCAAAGUGGUCUCAUCUACGAAGUUAGACCUGGAGACGCAGACGCCGGUGCUGGAUUAUUCGCACAUUAACGACUUUUUAUUGGAGCUUUCGGACCCGGCCGCCCUCCCUGCGCUUCUCAUAUCUCCAUCUGUGAACAUCUCUCAGCUGAGCCGAGCUUUCAGAGGCGAGAAGCGGGAGUUUCUCUGUCGGUUCGGAAGAGAAAGACGCACAAGAGGAACAGCGACACUGAAUCAAAAAAUAAAAUAAAAAAUCUCUGAAAUCUCA